Molecule: long non-coding RNA, 682 nt
Organism: Callorhinchus milii (elephant shark)
Lineage: Eukaryota; Metazoa; Chordata; Chondrichthyes; Chimaeriformes; Callorhinchidae
Exons: 3
Source: RefSeq, a predicted model, not a curated record
UAGCAGAUUUCAGGCAUUGCAUCAGCCUUCCUUUCUCAGACCACGCUGACCGCGCAGGGACUCUGGUUUUGUAUCACUCUGGCUUCACUGACACAAAAACUUGCCACAAAUACAUUUCAGCUGCAAGAGCCGUCGUCCAGCUUGUGAGAAGUCGUCUGUAAGGUGAUCUCAGGCCCUGUCCUAGGUCACACAAGGAGAAGAUUGACCACAGGGGUUGUUGGUGGUGGUGGUGGAAAGGUAUCGGAGUGCAGCCAGAGUCAAUUCCAACCCAACAUCCCUUCAACAGAGAAAACGAUGAAGGAUUUAAAAGGGUUUCAUUUUCAUUGGAUUUGAAUUGAGGUUUACAGGAAACUAGUGUAGAACUAUCUAAGUUCAUUACCUGACGCACAUAACGCAGAAAAUGCAACGCCAUAAACUCUAAUCUUCCCAAUUUGCACAUGAGUAUUUUGGCAUUGCAUCAGACACCAAGAGAUAACAAACGCAUAAACUAUUGCUCAAUUGGCAAGCGGCUAAGCAAAAAGCUUUGAUAAGUAGGGAUUCUUUUGGUCCCUGAGAAUAAAGGUCCAGAUUACGCCCUAAGUAUACAGACUCAAGAAACGAUUGACCAGCUGGCUUUCUAUUUUUAUUAUUAAUAAUAUUAAUAACAAAAUAAUGGAACCAACAAAGUUCUCUCAUCUGUUGU